UGUGGCAUUCACUACUAUUAGUAUUCGCUGA
Molecule: non-coding RNA, 31 nt
Filed under: Rattus norvegicus (Norway rat)
Lineage: Eukaryota; Metazoa; Chordata; Mammalia; Rodentia; Muridae
Source: RNAcentral